GACGAACCGUGCGAACGUUAUUCGGAAUCACUGGGCUUAAAGGGCGCGUAGGCGGGCCGCAUAGUCAGGGGUGAAAUCCUCCAGCUUAACUGGAGAAGUGCCUCUGAUACUGGCGGCCUCGAGGGGUGCAGGGGCGUGCGGAACUUAGGGUGGAGCGGUGAAAUGCGUAGAUAUCGGAAGGAACGCCGGUGGCGAAAGCGACGUGCUGGACCCCUUCUGACGCUGAGGCGCGAAAGCCAGGGGAGCAAACGGG
Molecule: ribosomal RNA, 253 nt
Filed under: uncultured bacterium
Lineage: Bacteria
Description: partial 16S ribosomal RNA
Rfam family: Bacterial small subunit ribosomal RNA
Source: RNAcentral